Molecule: ribosomal RNA, 279 nt
Filed under: uncultured bacterium
Lineage: Bacteria
Description: partial 16S ribosomal RNA
Rfam family: Bacterial small subunit ribosomal RNA
Source: RNAcentral
UGCCAGCCGCCGCGGUAAUAUGGAGGGUGCAAGCAUUAAUCGGAAUUAUUGGGCGUAAAGGGCGCGUAGGCGGAUUUGCAAGUCAGAUGUGAAAUACCGAGGCUUAACCUCGGUGCUGCAUUUGAAACUGCAAACCUUGAGGAUAGACGGAGAAAGCGGAAUUCCACAUGUAGCGGUGAAAUGCGUGGAUAUGUGGAAGAACACCUGUGGCGAAAGCGGCUUUCUAGUUUAUUCCUGACGCUGAGGCGCGAGAGCAAGGGGAGCAAACAGGAUUAGAUA